CAGUAGCCGCGGUAAUACGUAGGGUGCGAGCGUUAAUCGGAAUUACUGGGCGUAAAGCGUGCGCAGGCGGUUCGUUAAGACAGAUGUGAAAUCCCCGGGCUUAACCUGGGAACUGCAUUUGUGACUGGCGAGCUAGAGUAUGGCAGAGGGGGGUAGAAUUCCACGUGUAGCAGUGAAAUGCGUAGAGAUGUGGAGGAAUACCGAUGGCGAAGGCAGCCCCCUGGGCCAAUACUGACGCUCAUGCACGAAGGCGUGGGGAGCAAACAGGAUUAGAUACCCCGGUAGUCCCUGUCUCUUAUAC
RNAcentral lists this ribosomal RNA (301 nucleotides) under uncultured bacterium. Its description in RNAcentral is "partial 16S ribosomal RNA". It matches the Rfam family "Bacterial small subunit ribosomal RNA", at positions 509 to 807 of the family's 1533-position model. The record is from RNAcentral.